GAUGAACGCUGGCGGCGUGCCUAAUACAUGCAAGUCGAGCGAACAGACGAGGAGCUUGCUCCUCUGACGUUAGCGGCGGACGGGUGAGUAACACGUGGAUAACCUACCUAUAAGACUAGGAUAACUUCGGGAAACCGGAGCUAAUACCGGAUAAUAUAUUGAACCGCAUGGUUCAAUAGUGAAAGACGGUUUUGCUGUCACUUAUAGAUGGAUCCGCGCCGCAUUAGCUAGUUGGUAAGGUAACGGCUUACCAAGGCAACGAUGCGUAGCCGACCUGAGAGGGUGAUCGGCCACACGGGAACUGAGACACGGUCCAGACUCCGACGGGAGGCAGCAGUAGGGAAUCUUCCGCAAUGGGCGAAAGCCUGACGGAGCAACGCCGCGUGAGUGAUGAAGGUCUUCGGAUCGUAAAACUCUGUUAUUGGGGAAGAACAAAUGUGUAAGUAACUGUGCACGUCUUGACGGUACCUAAUCAGAAAGCCACGGCAAACUACGUG
Molecule: ribosomal RNA, 497 nt
Filed under: uncultured bacterium
Lineage: Bacteria
Description: partial 16S ribosomal RNA
Rfam family: Bacterial small subunit ribosomal RNA
Source: RNAcentral